RNAcentral lists this ribosomal RNA (209 nucleotides) under uncultured bacterium. RNAcentral's name for it is "partial 16S ribosomal RNA". It matches the Rfam family "Bacterial small subunit ribosomal RNA", at positions 568 to 775 of the family's 1533-position model. The record is from RNAcentral.
UGCGUAGGCGGCUUUUCAAGUCAGAUGUGAAAUCUUCCGGCUCAACCGGAAAACUGCAUUUGAAACUGAUUUGCUUGAGUAGACUAGGGGUGUGCGGAACUGCCAGUGGAGCGGUGAAAUGUGUUGAGAUUGGCAGGAACGCCGGUGGCGAAAGCGGCACACGUGGGGUCUAACUGACGCUGAGGCACGAAAGCUAGGGUAGCGGAACG